UCGUCACACUAUCAUUAACUGAAUCCAUAGGUUAAUGAGGCGAACCGGGGGAACUGAAACAUCUAAGUACCCCGAGGAAAAGAAAUCAACCGAGAUUCCCCCAGUAGCGGCGAGCGAACGGGGAGGAGCCCAGAGCCUGAAUCAGCAUGUGUGUUAGUGGAAGCGUCUGGAAAGGCGCGCGAUACAGGGUGACAGCCCCGUACACAAAAGCGCAUGUGCUGUGAGCUCGAUGAGUAGGGCGGGACACGUGGUAUCCUGUCUGAAUAUGGGGGGACCAUCCUCCAAGGCUAAAUACUCCUGACUGACCGAUAGUGAACCAGUACCGUGAGGGAAAGGCGAAAAGAACCCCGGCGAGGGGAGUGAAAAAGAACCUGAAACCGUGUACGUACAAGCAGUGGGAGCACCCUUUGGGUGUGACUGCGUACCUUUUGUAUAAUGGGUCAGCGACUUAUAUUCUGUAGCAAGGUUAACCGAAUAGGGGAGCCGGAGGGAAACCGAGUCUUAACCGGGCGUUAAGUUGCAGGGUAUAGACCCGAAACCCGGUGAUCUAGCCAUGGGCAGGUUGAAGGUUGGGUAACACUAACUGGAGGACCGAACCGACUAAUGUUGAAAAAUUAGCGGAUGACCUGUGGCUGGGGGUGAAAGGCCAAUCAAACCGGGAGAUAGCUGGUUCUCCCCGAAAGCUAUUUAGGUAGCGCCUCGUGAAUUCAUCUCCGGGGGUAGAGCACUGUUUCGGCUAGGGGGCCAUCCCGGCUUACCAACCCGAUGCAAACUGCGAAUACCGGAGAAUGUUAUCACGGGAGACACACGGCGGGUGCUAACGUCCGUCGUGAAGAGGGAAACAACCCAGACCGCCAGCUAAGGUCCCAAAGUCAUGGUUAAGUGGGAAACGAUGUGGGAAGGCCCAGACAGCCAGGAUGUUGGCUUAGAAGCAGCCAUCAUUUAAAGAAAGCGUAAUAGCUCACUGGUCGAGUCGGCCUGCGCGGAAGAUGUAACGGGGCUAAACCAUG
RNAcentral lists this ribosomal RNA (1010 nucleotides) under Salmonella enterica subsp. enterica serovar Enteritidis. RNAcentral's name for it is "partial 23S ribosomal RNA". It matches the Rfam family "Bacterial large subunit ribosomal RNA", at positions 140 to 1191 of the family's 2925-position model. Lineage: Bacteria; Pseudomonadati; Pseudomonadota; Gammaproteobacteria; Enterobacterales; Enterobacteriaceae. The record is from RNAcentral.